Non-coding RNA from Amborella trichopoda, 2623 nucleotides. Lineage: Eukaryota; Viridiplantae; Streptophyta; Magnoliopsida; Amborellales; Amborellaceae. The record is from RefSeq and is a predicted model, not a curated record.
AAGCUUUAAAUUUUAUAAUUAAAGAUGAAAAUAUAUUUUAAGGCUAUCACAAAGAUUUCCAGUAUUGAAACCACAUCCCUCUCAACUUGGUUUCAUAGAUAUGCAUCAUGACUAAGAGAGAGAUUCUUCUAAGGAAUGGCAUCUACUGGUGCUUACCUGAGUGUUUUGGAAGCAUUAUAGAGUUUUUGGCUGAGCUCAUCAAUGGAACGAGAGAAAUGAUAAGUAUAUUUACAUAAAUGAAACAGGUUUUUUUGUUGAUCUCUCUUUUUUUUUUUUUUUUGCUCUCUUAAUUCUGUGUAAGAUAUUAUUGGCCCCGUUGCCCAUUGCUUGAAGCUUAUACCAUCAAAACCGCUAGAGUUGCCAAGGCUAAUCAUUGAUGAAUGGCCUUUAGAGCAUUAAAAUGAGUAAUUGCUUACUAGGUUAGAGCUUUUCUUUGUUUUCUCUUUUUUUUUCCUUUUGAAAUAUCUAUUAAUUUUUUUUGGAGUGGGAAAAAUCCUGAUUUUCUUUGUUGAUGGCAUAUAUGAUUUGAGCACUCUAAUUGUAUGAAUGAUACAUAUCGUAACAUUUUUAAAUGCUUAUAGUCAUCUUCAUAUAUUUUAUCAUCAUACCAAUGAAUAUUAUCUUAUAUUACGAAGAGAUUGGUUUCUCUAAAGGCCAUUCAUCAAUGAUUAGGCAACUCUUGCGGUUUUGAUGCUAUAGCUUCAAGCAAUGGGGCCAAAAAUAUCUUACAUAGUGGGAAAGAGAGGGAUUUGUUAACAUGGUGGGAACACGUGGCGGACUAAUAGGGGGAUGCUCCUCUCGCGUAAUAUAUAAUACCUACCUGAGUAUAGGAUAUUAAAAACAAACAAUAUCUUAAUACAUGUGCAGCCGUUCCCAAAGAGAUAUGACAUACGAAGCCAUUGCUUUAAACUGCCAGCUAGGACAAGUUGGACUUAAUUUGAAUUGAGACAUGAAACAAUUAUAUAAAGAUACAAGAAAAUAGACUGCCUUACCAGUUAUGGAUACCCCUUUAUAUACGAUACCUCCCUCAUGGCUGCCAAGCUAGCAUAUCUUCUUUUUCUAUCUUUUCUGUGACGUUAUUCAUCAGAGAUGUAGACAUGCUGUUCAAAGUGUUGGUAUGUGAAGUGAACAAAUGCACAAUUGGAUGCCCAAUGAGCAUUUAUUAAAUUUCAUCCGAGUGAUAGAGGGAUGUCUUUCCCUUUGCAUAGAUCAAACACAGGCUUAGAUUGUAGGUCAUCAAUUUUCUUCUCUAUAUGGAUAUUAAGCAUCACUUGACUUGGAUAUUGCACGUGGAAUGCACUAUAUUUUGAAUCCUGAUGAUCAAUUGUGAGUUUUCAGGGAUCUUUGGGUUGUUUAUCACGAGAUGCAUAUUUGGCUUUAGUUGUUAUGAUUGGAUAGCUUGUAAUGAUCUGAAUUGCAUUUCAGAGUACUCUAGUUGUCUGUAUUUUAUUAUUCUUGAAGUGCUCAAGAUGCUCCUAAUAUUUUGGCUCGGGGAGUUAGUAACUUUGAGCUAUCAUUUCACUUGGCUUGUGAAAGGGGGAAGCAUCCUGGCUGUGAGAUUCCGCAUUUGCUCAAUUACAAUGCAAACACAGAAUACGAGGAAGGGUGAAUGAAGUUCAAAGCAUUUCACAGACCCCAUGGUGUCAAUCUUCUGGAAAGAAGACUUAUUCUGGCUUUUGACAAGAUUGGUAGGGUCUGUCACGUCUACUUGACACGUGACCAUGCGAUUCUGCUUCACAAUCUUCUUAAUGGUGAUGUCAUCCAGGCCAUUGCGCAAUUCAAAAAGAUCCUUUUUGGCAGGAGGUUCGCUUUGAGGAUUACAGGAUUUCUAGUCAAAAUGAUGAUCGCAGUGCAUUGGCAGUGGACCUAGGACUGCUUCACCGGGCUCUACAGAGCAGUGUGAGCAUGGAUGGUGACAGGUUGCAGAUCAAGCUUGUCAAGAAGCGCGCCGUUGCCUCUGUACAACCGAUGCCUUUCCUCAAAUUUGAAAGCAAGGGGAGAGAAAAGGCAAAAGGAUAAAUAUAUGAUGAAUUGUUUAGAGAUGUACUAGUUCGAGCGUACUACACGCACUGGUCCAGUGAAAGCAUCCGCCAAAAUAGGAAGGAUAAACAAAAUCACCUACACCGCAAUUGUUUUUCCUGUGACCUGUGAAAUGGAUUGCUUGGGCAAUGUAGCUGAAAUGCGUGAUAUAGUUUUUCAAUUGGAUUUCCUGGCCUGAAUGCUCCUAUUCCACCUGGUGCUAGCUUUGGUUAUCGUCCUAGAGGUUGGAGCAAGCCUCUUGUUGGUGAAACAUGUGAGCAAUGUAGCUGAAAUGCGUGAUAUAGUUUUUCAAUUGGAUUUCUUGGCCCGAAUGCUCCUAUUCCACUUGGUGCUAGCUUUGGUUAUCAUCCUAGAGGUUGGGGCAAGCCUCUUGUUGAUAAAUUCAGACGCCCACUAUAUGGUGACGGUUUUGGUGUCCAACAACAAGAACAACCAAAUUAUGAGGAGGAACUUGUUGAUAACAGUAAGAAUUGGGAUGACUUGGAGGAAGAGGAGGAAUAAGAGGAGGAACAUAUGGAAGAAGAGGAAUUGGAGGCCGGUAUUCAAUCAGUUGCCAACCUCUCUCUCUCUCUCUCUCUCUUCU